This 151-nucleotide microRNA precursor is filed under the name Glycine max (soybean). The record is from RNAcentral. Lineage: Eukaryota; Viridiplantae; Streptophyta; Magnoliopsida; Fabales; Fabaceae.
AUUUGAGCCGGGAUGGCUUGCCGGCAUAUGCAUAAAAAGCAAAGAUCCCCUGUGUGGCUUGCCGGUGCCAUCCCGUCUCAUAUUUGCUCCCUUUACACACUCAUGUGAGACUUUGAAAAGAGCUUCAUUUACGGUAUCCAUUGUGCCUUCU